RNAcentral lists this non-coding RNA (22 nucleotides) under Arabidopsis thaliana (thale cress). The record is from RNAcentral. Lineage: Eukaryota; Viridiplantae; Streptophyta; Magnoliopsida; Brassicales; Brassicaceae.
UGGUUUCAGGAAAUGAGCACUA